This 472-nucleotide ribosomal RNA is filed under the name uncultured bacterium. Its description in RNAcentral is "bacterial SSU rRNA". It matches the Rfam family "Bacterial small subunit ribosomal RNA", at positions 355 to 825 of the family's 1533-position model. The record is from RNAcentral.
UGGGGAAUAUUGGACAAUGGGCGAAAGCCUGAUCCAGCCAUGCCGCGUGUGUGAAGAAGGUCUUCGGAUUGUAAAGCACUUUAAGUUGGGAGGAAGGGCAGUUGCCUAAUACGUAACUGUUUUGACGUUACCGACAGAAUAAGCACCGGCUAACUCUGUGCCAGCAGCCGCGGUAAUACAGAGGGUGCAAGCGUUAAUCGGAAUUACUGGGCGUAAAGCGCGCGUAGGUGGUUUGUUAAGUUGGAUGUGAAAUCCCCGGGCUCAACCUGGGAACUGCAUUCAAAACUGACUGACUAGAGUAUGGUAGAGGGUGGUGGAAUUUCCUGUGUAGCGGUGAAAUGCGUAGAUAUAGGAAGGAACACCAGUGGCGAAGGCGACCACCUGGACUGAUACUGACACUGAGGUGCGAAAGCGUGGGGAGCAAACAGGAUUAGAUACCCCAGUAGUCCCUGAGCGGGCUGGCAAGGCGCAU